GGAUCAGAUUGUCGGUCGUGCCUCGGUACGCACUGGCACUAUUGGUUCCUACCUUCUGAAGAACCGCGAUGUCAUUAAUUUGGUGUUGCGGGGAAUUUGGACUGUUACUUUGAAAAAAUUAGAGUGUUUAAAGCAAGCUAACGCUUGAAUACAUUAGCAUGGAAUAAUGAAAUAGGACGUUCGAUCCUAUUUUGUUGGUUUCUAGGGUUGACGUA
RNAcentral lists this ribosomal RNA (215 nucleotides) under Campeiostachys nutans. RNAcentral's name for it is "Elymus nutans partial small subunit ribosomal RNA". The stretch from base 38 to 215 matches the Rfam family "Eukaryotic small subunit ribosomal RNA", at positions 685 to 864 of the family's 1831-position model. Lineage: Eukaryota; Viridiplantae; Streptophyta; Magnoliopsida; Poales; Poaceae. The record is from RNAcentral.